CACAGUGCCCACUUCUCUCCCUGCGUGGCUCCUUGGCCUUGGAGUGGAAGCUCUGUUUUCUCAUCUGUAAAAAACGACAGCCCAUUCCUUCUCUCGCCACGUUGGAUCGCAGAACUGAAAAGACCCGAAGAGGAGCGAGGCCCGGGCAGGUCGGGGUAAAGUUGGACGGCAAAGCAUGUCAGAAAGAACACAGCUCAAAGGGUGUCUCCUGUCUCUCCCUUCAGGCUUGCUCACGUUUCUGUGACAACAGGCACUGGUCCAUGAUCCUGGCAGCCUGCCAACGUUUGGAAAGCCUCCUGGAAGGUGUUUCCGAGCACAGCUGGAAUACGGACGGUCACCAGCAACUGGCUGGAGGGGAUGCUGCGCUUCUACCCUGGCAGCAUUAGGGAAUCUGCUGAGUGACACGGAGCGACGGUGUCACCUUUUAUGGAGUACCUACAGGCCCUCUGUCACCUGCCACCCCCUGUUGACUGGACAGGAGUGACAACACCGCCACGAUCAUCGUCACCACCAUCUACUCACUCAGGACGCUGCGGCUGGGACCCGCAGUCAGCUGCAGGGCCAGUGACGUUCUUCUCCACCGGGGCCUUCUUAGAAGGUGUGGUCCCAGAG
Molecule: non-coding RNA, 612 nt
Organism: Microcebus murinus (gray mouse lemur)
Lineage: Eukaryota; Metazoa; Chordata; Mammalia; Primates; Cheirogaleidae
Source: RefSeq, a predicted model, not a curated record